GCGCCCAUAGCUCAGCAGGAUAGAGCAUCGGUCUUCUAAACCGACGGUCGCAGGUUCGAAUCCUGCUGGGCGCGCUA
RNAcentral lists this transfer RNA (77 nucleotides) under Myxococcales bacterium. Its description in RNAcentral is "tRNA-Arg". It matches the Rfam family "tRNA". Rfam says of the family: Transfer RNA (tRNA) molecules are approximately 80 nucleotides in length. Their secondary structure includes four short double-helical elements and three loops (D, anti-codon, and T loops). The record is from RNAcentral. Lineage: Bacteria; Pseudomonadati; Myxococcota; Myxococcia; Myxococcales.